UGGGGAAUAUUGGACAAUGGGCGCAAGCCUGAUCCAGCCAUGCCGCGUGAGUGAUGAAGGCCUUAGGGUUGUAAAGCUCUUUCACCGGAGAAGAUAAUGACGGUAUCCGGAGAAGAAGCCCCGGCUAACUUCGUGCCAGCAGCCGCGGUAAUACGAAGGGGGCUAGCGUUGUUCGGAAUUACUGGGCGUAAAGCGCACGUAGGCGGACAUUUAAGUCAGGGGUGAAAUCCCGGGGCUCAACCUCGGAACUGCCUUUGAUACUGGGUGUCUAGAGUAUGGAAGAGGUAAGUGGAAUUGCGAGUGUAGAGGUGAAAUUCGUAGAUAUUCGCAGGAACACCAGUGGCGAAGGCGGCUUACUGGUCCAUUACUGACGCUGAGGUGCGAAAGCGUGGGGAGCAAACA
This 402-nucleotide ribosomal RNA is filed under the name uncultured Agrobacterium sp. RNAcentral describes it as "bacterial SSU rRNA". It matches the Rfam family "Bacterial small subunit ribosomal RNA", at positions 355 to 774 of the family's 1533-position model. RNAcentral also lists the same sequence under 1 other name. The record is from RNAcentral. Lineage: Bacteria; Pseudomonadati; Pseudomonadota; Alphaproteobacteria; Hyphomicrobiales; Rhizobiaceae.